GACGAACGCUGGCGGCGUGCUUAACACAUGCAAGUCGAACGGAAAGGCCCUGCUUUUGUGGGGUGCUCGAGUGGCGAACGGGUGAGUAACACGUGAGUAACCUGCCCUUGACUUUGGGAUAACUUCAGGAAACUGGGGCUACUACCGUAUAGGAGCUCCUGCUGCAUGGUGGGGGUUGGAAAGUUUCGGCGGUUGGGGAUGGACUCGCGGCUUAUCAGCUUGUUGGUGGGGUAGUGGCUUACCAAGGCUUUGACGGGUAGCCGGCCUGAGAGGGUGACCGGCCACAUUGGGACUGAGAUACGGCCCAGACUCCUACGGGAGGCAGCAGUGGGGAAUAUUGCACAAUGGGCGGAAGCCUGAUGCAGCAACGCCGCGUGCGGGAUGACGGCCUUCGGGUUGUAAACCGCUUUCGCCUGUGACGAAGCGUGAGUGACGGUAAUGGGUAAAGAAGCACCGGCUAACUACGUG
This 468-nucleotide ribosomal RNA is filed under the name uncultured bacterium. RNAcentral describes it as "partial 16S ribosomal RNA". It matches the Rfam family "Bacterial small subunit ribosomal RNA", at positions 28 to 507 of the family's 1533-position model. The record is from RNAcentral.